RNAcentral lists this ribosomal RNA (206 nucleotides) under uncultured bacterium. Its description in RNAcentral is "partial 16S ribosomal RNA". It matches the Rfam family "Bacterial small subunit ribosomal RNA", at positions 568 to 774 of the family's 1533-position model. The record is from RNAcentral.
AGCGUAGACGGUGUGGCAAGUCUGAUGUGAAAGGCAUGGGCUCAACCUGUGGACUGCAUUGGAAACUGUCAUACUUGAGUGCCGGAGGGGUAAGCGGAAUUCCUAGUGUAGCGGUGAAAUGCGUAGAUAUCGGGAAGAACACCAAUGGCGAAGGCAGGUCUCUGGGCCGUUACUGACGCUGAGGAGCGAAAGCGUGGGAGCGAACA